Molecule: ribosomal RNA, 253 nt
Filed under: uncultured bacterium
Lineage: Bacteria
Description: partial 16S ribosomal RNA
Rfam family: Bacterial small subunit ribosomal RNA
Source: RNAcentral
UACGUAGGUGGCAAGCGUUGUCCGGAUUUAUUGGGCGUAAAGGGCGCGUAGGCGGCCACGCACGUCCGUUGUGAAAUCGCCCGGCUCAACUGGGCGGGGUCAGCGGAUACGGUGUGGCUCGAGCAAGCUAGGGGGCAAUGGAACUCCCGGUGUAGUGGUGGAAUGCGUAGAUAUCGGGAAGAACACCAGUGGCGAAGGCGGUUGCCUGGAGCUUUGCUGACGCUGAUGCGCGAAAGCGUGGGGAGCGAUCCGG